Molecule: ribosomal RNA, 253 nt
Filed under: uncultured bacterium
Lineage: Bacteria
Description: partial 16S ribosomal RNA
Rfam family: Bacterial small subunit ribosomal RNA
Source: RNAcentral
GACAGAGGUGCCGAGCGUUAGGCGGAAUCACUGGGCUUAAAGCGUGUGUAGGCGGGCCGUUAAGUGCCCCGUGAAAUCCCCCGGCUCAACCGGGGAACGGCGGGGCAUACUGGCGGCCUUGAGCCACUUAAGGGCAGACGGAACAAGCGGUGGAGCGGUGAAAUGCGUAGAUAUCGUUUGGAACGCCAAUGGUGAAAACAGACAGCUGGGAGUGUGCUGACGCUGAGACACGAAAGCCAGGGGAGCGAACGGG